GAGCACGUAGGUGGGUUUGUAAGUCAGAUGUGAAAGCCUUCUGUUCAACGGGAGAAUUGCAUCUGAAACUACAGACCUUGAGUAUAGGAGGGGAGAAUGGAACUUCUGGUGGAGCGGUGAAAUGCGUAGAUAUCAAAAGGAACGCCGGCGGCGAAAGCGAUUCUCUGGCCUAUUACUGACACUCAGUGCGCGAAAGCUAGGGGAGCAAACGGGAUUAGAUACCCCGGUAGUCCUAGCCGUAAACGAUGGGCACUAAGUAGAGGGAAUUACCGAUGUUCUCUCUGCCGUAGCUAACGCAUUAAGUGCCCCGCCUGGGGAGUACGGCCGCAAGGCUAAAACUCAAAAGAAUUGACGGGGGCUCGCACAAGCGGUGGAGCAUGUGGCUUAAUUCGAUGCAACGCGAAAAACCUUACCGGGGCUUGACAUGGUAGAAGUAGGAACCCGAAAGGGUAACGAACGGUAUCCAGUCCGCAGCUAUCACAGGUGUUGCAUGGCUGUCGUCAGCUCGUGUCGUGAGACGUUGGGUUAAGUCCCCUAACGGGCGAAACCCUUGUUUUUAGUUACCAGCGGGUUGUGCCGGGUACUCUAGAAAGACUGCCGUCGUCAAGACGGAGGAAGGUGGGGAUGACGUCAAGUCAUCAUGGCCCUUAUGCCCCGGGCUGCACACGUGCUACAAUGGUCGGUACAAACGGAAGCGAGGCCGAGAGGUGAAGCGAAUCC
This 720-nucleotide ribosomal RNA is filed under the name uncultured anaerobic ammonium-oxidizing bacterium. RNAcentral's name for it is "bacterial SSU rRNA". It matches the Rfam family "Bacterial small subunit ribosomal RNA", at positions 565 to 1274 of the family's 1533-position model. The record is from RNAcentral.